GGAUUAGAUACCCUGGUAGUCCUUGCCGUAAACGAUGCAUACUUGGUGUAGUUGGUCUCAACCCCGACUGUGCCGUAGCUAACGCGUUAAGUAUGCCACCUGGGGAGUACGCUCGCAAGAGUGAAACUCAAAAGAAUUGACGGGGGCCCGCACAAGCAGUGGAGCAUGUGGUUUAAUUCGAUGAUACGCGAGGAACCUUACCUGGGCUUAAAUGUAGAGUGCAUGAGUGGGAAACCAUUCUUUCCUUCGGGACUCUUUACAAGGUGCUGCAUGGUUGUCGUCAGCUCGUGCCG
RNAcentral lists this ribosomal RNA (293 nucleotides) under uncultured bacterium. Its description in RNAcentral is "partial 16S ribosomal RNA". It matches the Rfam family "Bacterial small subunit ribosomal RNA", at positions 775 to 1067 of the family's 1533-position model. The record is from RNAcentral.